RNAcentral lists this ribosomal RNA (502 nucleotides) under uncultured bacterium. RNAcentral's name for it is "bacterial SSU rRNA". It matches the Rfam family "Bacterial small subunit ribosomal RNA", at positions 10 to 507 of the family's 1533-position model. The record is from RNAcentral.
AGUUUGAUCCUGGCUCAGGAUGAACGCUAGCGGCAGGCUUAAUACAUGCAAGUCGAACGGGAUUUAGGGUAGCAAUACUUUAAUGAGAGUGGCGCACGGGUGCGUAACACGUAUGCAACCUACCUUUAACAGGAAGAUAGCCCCGGGAAAUCGGGAUUAAUAUUUCAUAACAUUGCGCUGUGGCAUCACAGUGCAAUUAAAGCUCCGGCGGUUAAAGAUGGGCAUGCGCGACAUUAGCUAGUUGGUGAGGUAACGGCUCACCAAGGCUACGAUGUCUAGGGGUCCUGAGAGGGUUAUCCCCCACACUGGUACUGAGACACGGACCAGACUCCUACGGGAGGCAGCAGUAAGGAAUAUUGGUCAAUGGGCGCAAGCCUGAACCAGCCAUGCCGCGUGCAGGAAGACGGCCCUAUGGGUUGUAAACUGCUUUUAUCAGGGAAUAAACCCUCGUACGUGUACGAGGCUGAAGGUACCUGAAGAAUAAGCAUCGGCUAACUCCGUG